Molecule: unclassified non-coding RNA, 277 nt
Filed under: Russula sp.
Lineage: Eukaryota; Fungi; Basidiomycota; Agaricomycetes; Russulales; Russulaceae
Description: partial contains 5.8S ribosomal RNA, internal transcribed spacer 2, and large subunit ribosomal RNA
Source: RNAcentral
AACGCACCUUGCGCCUCUUGGUAUUCCGAGAGGCAUGCCCUGUUUGAGUGUCUUAUAAAAUCAAUCCCCACGGGUUUUCGGACCGGUUGGUGACUUGGAGUUGGGUGUCUGCCGGUCACACGGCUCGCCUUAAAGACGUUAGUGGGACAGGAUGCCUACGGCUUGACGUAAUAAGUUUCGUCAGACCCGGUGCCCUACGCUCGCUCAUAACCCUUUGCCCUCGGGCAGCUACUUUAUGCUAGACCUCAAAUCAGGUAGGACUACCCGCUGAACUUAA